Molecule: ribosomal RNA, 614 nt
Filed under: Aspergillus flavus
Lineage: Eukaryota; Fungi; Ascomycota; Eurotiomycetes; Eurotiales; Aspergillaceae
Description: eukaryotic LSU rRNA
Rfam family: 5.8S ribosomal RNA (bases 269-422)
Source: RNAcentral
GUAAAACCCGCUGGAGGUUGGCCCCGCUAGGAACCCUACACCUCGGUAAUGAUCUUCCGUAGGGGGGACCUGCGGAAGGAUCAUUACCGAGUGUAGGGUUCCUAGCGAGCCCAACCUCCCACCCGUGUUUACUGUACCUUAGUUGCUUCGGCGGGCCCGCCAUUCAUGGCCGCCGGGGGCUCUCAGCCCCGGGCCCGCGCCCGCCGGAGACACCACGAACUCUGUCUGAUCUAGUGAAGUCUGAGUUGAUUGUAUCGCAAUCAGUUAAAACUUUCAACAAUGGAUCUCUUGGUUCCGGCAUCGAUGAAGAACGCAGCGAAAUGCGAUAACUAGUGUGAAUUGCAGAAUUCCGUGAAUCAUCGAGUCUUUGAACGCACAUUGCGCCCCCUGGUAUUCCGGGGGGCAUGCCUGUCCGAGCGUCAUUGCUGCCCAUCAAGCACGGCUUGUGUGUUGGGUCGUCGUCCCCUCUCCGGGGGGGACGGGCCCCAAAGGCAGCGGCGGCACCGCGUCCGAUCCUCGAGCGUAUGGGGCUUUGUCACCCGCUCUGUAGGCCCGGCCGGCGCUUGCCGAACGCAAAUCAAUCUUUUCCAGGUGACCUCGGAUCAGUAGUCCCA